Molecule: ribosomal RNA, 503 nt
Filed under: Veillonella parvula
Lineage: Bacteria; Bacillati; Bacillota; Negativicutes; Veillonellales; Veillonellaceae
Description: bacterial SSU rRNA
Rfam family: Bacterial small subunit ribosomal RNA
Source: RNAcentral
GACGAACGCUGGCGGCGUGCUUAACACAUGCAAGUCGAACGAAGAGCGACGGAAGCUUGCUUCUAUCAAUCUUAGUGGCGAACGGGUGAGUAACGCGUAAUCAACCUGCCCUUCAGAGGGGGACAACAGUUGGAAACGACUGCUAAUACCGCAUACGAUCUAAACUCGGCAUCGAGGAUAGAUGAAAGGUGGCCUCUACAUGUAAGCUAUCACUGAAGGAGGGGAUUGCGUCUGAUUAGCUAGUUGGAGGGGUAACGGCCCACCAAGGCGAUGAUCAGUAGCCGGUCUGAGAGGAUGAACGGCCACAUUGGGACUGAGACACGGCCCAGACUCCUACGGGAGGCAGCAGUGGGGAAUCUUCCGCAAUGGACGAAAGUCUGACGGAGCAACGCCGCGUGAGUGAUGACGGCCUUCGGGUUGUAAAGCUCUGUUAAUCGGGACGAAAGGCCUUCUUGCAAAUAGUGAGAAGGAUUGACGGUACCGGAAUAGAAAGCCACGGCUAA